GGAGAAGUACUCAAGUACGGCUGAAGAGGCGCCCCUGCUAAGGGUGUAGGUCGGGAAACCGGCGCGGGAGUUCAAAUCUCCCCUUCUCCGCCA
Molecule: transfer RNA, 93 nt
Filed under: Luoshenia tenuis
Lineage: Bacteria; Bacillati; Bacillota; Clostridia; Christensenellales; Christensenellaceae
Also listed under: 1 other name
Description: tRNA-Ser
Rfam family: tRNA
About the family: Transfer RNA (tRNA) molecules are approximately 80 nucleotides in length. Their secondary structure includes four short double-helical elements and three loops (D, anti-codon, and T loops).
Source: RNAcentral